RNAcentral lists this transfer RNA (73 nucleotides) under gut metagenome. RNAcentral describes it as "tRNA-Lys". It matches the Rfam family "tRNA". From Rfam's summary of the family: Transfer RNA (tRNA) molecules are approximately 80 nucleotides in length. Their secondary structure includes four short double-helical elements and three loops (D, anti-codon, and T loops). Further hydrogen bonds mediate the characteristic L-shaped molecular structure. tRNAs have two regions of fundamental functional importance: the anti-codon, which is responsible for specific mRNA codon recognition, and the 3' end, to which the tRNAs corresponding amino acid is attached (by aminoacyl-tRNA synthetases). tRNAs cope with the degeneracy of the genetic code in two manners: having more than one tRNA (with a specific anti-codon) for a particular amino acid; and 'wobble' base-pairing, i.e. permitting non-standard base-pairing at the 3rd anti-codon position. The record is from RNAcentral.
GCUUCCCUAGCUCAGUUGGCAGAGCACGACACUCUUAAUGUUGGGGUCCAGGGUUCGAGCCCCUGGGGGAGCA